AUGGGAGAAGGGGCCUUCAGUGGGAGAGCCACGACACCCACAAGCAUAGCAUCCCUCUCUGAAGGAAAACCCAGGUGUGCUUCUAAGACAAACACAAACUUGAGGGCCAAAGUUGUGUGCCCUACCAUCUGGCCAGAUUUCAGAAAAGCCAGGCAGCCUGGUUCACCUCCCUGCACCCUGCUACUGCCCCCAGUUGUGGGGGAAACCCACGGCUGUGAGCUCUGGGUUUGCACAAAAGGGCUGAGGAGACUCCAGACGUAGAGGAGAGAAUCAACCGUGGCUUCUCAGCUGUGCCUGGAGGUCUGACCUGGGCCCUGAGACUUGAGUCAAGGGCCAGGCUCCUGAAGGCUAAAGGGACUCCUCCUUCAUCCUCAGGGACCCCCCUCCUCCUCAGCCUGUACAGCUGUGCCCCCAUGGACAGCCUGGACAGCCCCUCCCUGUAGGCUGGGUGAAACCUGAGGCCUCAACUGUUUGGCUGAACUGGAGCCUUCCAGCACUGGGAUCACCGAAGGUCUCAAUCUCAGAGAUUUUUCUAAGGUGAGAAAGAACUGGAGGGUGACCCGAGGGAGAUUUCAAGUGGCAACAUGGAGCCCUCAGACACUCACUGAGUCUACAGGUGGCAAGUGCCAGGAGCUGCAAUCAGGCACAUUCUCUGCAGAAAUCCUGGCAGCAGGCGAAGUACAUUGCCCCUUUGUUGAACAACCAGUCUGGCUUCACAAAGCUGGCAAGUGCUGAAGUCAGCAUUCUACCAGAGCUUCUCUUGACUUCAGAACAGACUCUUUCUUGCAUGAGGGACGUGUGCGUGAAACAGACGAGAUUUCCAGAAGCUGUGUUAUUCUCAUUCAUUCAUUCAUCCACCUAUCAUUUGCUCACUGAUCACCUACCAAGUGCUGAAGAUCCAAGCAGGCAGCAUCCCCACAUAUAGGGCUAGAGAGCUGUCUUUCCACAAGGCACACGUGCCAAGGGACACGUUACAAAACCUUCCACACAUAGCAAGCCCCUGAACAUCUCCAGAGGUCUGAACCACUUCUCUUGCCUCUUUGCCUGCUUGGACUAAGUUUUCUCUUCCAUUUUCCAACUGUGGAAUUAGCCAGCAGCUCCACAGUGCCCAGAUGGCUCAGCAGAUAAAGAAUCCACCUGCAGUGCUGGAGACACAGGUUCAAUCCCUGUGUCGGGAGGAUCCCCUGAAGCAGACAAUGGCAACCCACUUCAGUAUUNNNNNNNNNNNNNNNNNNNNNNNNNNNNNNNNNNNNNNNNNNNNNNNNNNNNNNNNNNNNNNNNGUCAGACAUGCUUGACAUGAUUGAGAGACAAACACUUUCCGCAACACUUUCCCCGGGGCCCCAGCUUGCAAGGAGGGCCUUGUCAGUAGUGAAGCUUCUGACUGGGCUGAGGAGGCUCAGGGACAUUCCUCUAACCUGGCUCAAGCCCAGGGAAUGUCUUUGAUCUCUGGCACUGAAAGUGUGCACAGAAUCGAGUCCAAGAUCAGAUGCUCAGGUGCUGAGCGGAAGCAUGAGGCGGAUGAGCAGGGAGAGUCCAGCCAUAUCAGAGAGAGGGCAACCUGUUGAUUACAG
This 1572-nucleotide long non-coding RNA is filed under the name Capra hircus (goat). RNAcentral's name for it is "lncRNA (ENSCHIG00010016822.1)". The record is from RNAcentral. Lineage: Eukaryota; Metazoa; Chordata; Mammalia; Artiodactyla; Bovidae.